Paramuricea clavata is the source of this 416-nucleotide non-coding RNA. The record is from the annotation of a GenBank genome assembly. NCBI's taxonomy places the organism in Eukaryota, Metazoa, Cnidaria, Anthozoa, Malacalcyonacea, Plexauridae.
CUUUAAAAUUUCAAAUUACCUUCUGUUUAAUUUGUCACAAAUUUAUAAGAAAUUUCUAUUAUAAUAAUGCACUAAUAUAUACUUACAUUUGAAAAAAACCCCCAACUAAAUGUACACCCCUUUCAUACUUGUCAGUUAACAGCCCUGGCACAAACGCCUUUAGCAAAAUAUUCAAGAGAGAAUGUAAAGUUUGAACAGGAGCACUUUUUCAUACGGGAUUGAAUUUUGAGGUUUUCACCACAUUCAUUCACACUUUACAUCUCCAUAUUCACAGACCUUUCCAAUGGGCCUUAUGCAGGUAUCCGUCCAAUUUCCAGGAAUUUUAGUUACAAUACUGGACAUUUUAUGUGUUGUUUAUAUCAUCAUUACGAGUUUUCACCAAAAAUUUUGAAUCAAUAGGAUUAAUUCCUCCUGAG